Molecule: transfer RNA, 72 nt
Filed under: Aedes aegypti (yellow fever mosquito)
Lineage: Eukaryota; Metazoa; Arthropoda; Insecta; Diptera; Culicidae
Rfam family: tRNA
About the family: Transfer RNA (tRNA) molecules are approximately 80 nucleotides in length. Their secondary structure includes four short double-helical elements and three loops (D, anti-codon, and T loops).
Source: Rfam by way of RNAcentral
GGCUCGGUAGUUUAGUUGGUAAAGCGUUCGUCUAGCAUACAAGAGUCCUGGGUUCAAAUCUCAGCCGAGCAC